RNAcentral lists this transfer RNA (74 nucleotides) under Mycobacteriales bacterium. Its description in RNAcentral is "tRNA-Trp". It matches the Rfam family "tRNA". Rfam says of the family: Transfer RNA (tRNA) molecules are approximately 80 nucleotides in length. Their secondary structure includes four short double-helical elements and three loops (D, anti-codon, and T loops). The record is from RNAcentral. RNAcentral also lists the same sequence under 4 other names. Lineage: Bacteria; Bacillati; Actinomycetota; Actinomycetes; Mycobacteriales.
AGGGGCGUGGCUCAAUUGGUUAGAGCACCGGUCUCCAAAACCGGCGGUUGCAGGUUCGAGUCCUGCCGCCCCUG